RNAcentral lists this ribosomal RNA (509 nucleotides) under uncultured bacterium. Its description in RNAcentral is "bacterial SSU rRNA". It matches the Rfam family "Bacterial small subunit ribosomal RNA", at positions 28 to 509 of the family's 1533-position model. The record is from RNAcentral.
GAUGAACGCUAGCGACAGGCCUAACACAUGCAAGUCGAGGGGCAUCGGGGCGUAGCAAUACGCUGCCGGCGACCGGCGGAUGGGUGAGUAACGCGUAUGCAACCUGCCUUCAGCAGGGGGAUAGCCCGUUGAAAGACGGAUUAAUACCCCGUAACACAGGGGCUCCGCAUGGAGAUUAUUGUUAAAGGGAUACUUCCUUCGGGGGGUAUUCCGGCUGAAGAUGGGCAUGCGUUCCAUUAGGUAGUUGGUUGAGGUAACGGCUCACCAAGCCUACGAUGGAUAGGGGAACUGAGAGGUUGGUCCCCCACACUGGUACUGAGACACGGACCAGACUCCUACGGGAGGCAGCAGUGAGGAAUCUUGGUCAAUGGACGGAAGUCUGAACCAGCCAUGUCGCGUGAAGGAGGACGGCCCUAAGGGUUGUAAACUUCUUUUGCAGCGGAAUAAAGUAUUCCACGAGAUGGGAUAUUGCAAGUACGCUGCGAAUAAGGAUCGGCUAACUCCGUGCC